This 69-nucleotide transfer RNA is filed under the name Telmatobius vellardi (Vellard's water frog). RNAcentral's name for it is "tRNA-Tyr". It matches the Rfam family "tRNA". From Rfam's summary of the family: Transfer RNA (tRNA) molecules are approximately 80 nucleotides in length. Their secondary structure includes four short double-helical elements and three loops (D, anti-codon, and T loops). Lineage: Eukaryota; Metazoa; Chordata; Amphibia; Anura; Ceratophryidae. The record is from RNAcentral.
GGUAAGAUGGCCGAGAGUAGGUGGUAGGUUGUAGCCCUAAUAACAGAGGUUCAAAUCCUCUUCUUACCA